CCCAAGGAACGCCGGUGCCUUGUUCCCCAUGGCUGUAAUCACACUGAAGUUUCACUGACCACAGUCUCAAGAUUUCAAAAACUUUAAGACAUUAUUCCUUCCUCGUCUUUUUUUUUUUUUUUUUUUUUAAGAGACAGGAUCUUGCUGUGUUGCCCAAGCUAGAGUGCAAUGGUGCAAUCAUAGCUCAUUGCAGCCUUGAACUACUAGGCUCAAGCGAUCCUCCCCACUCAGCCUCCUGAGUAGCUGGGACUAUAGGUGUGUGCUACCACAUCCGGCUAAUUUUUAAUUUUUUUUUUUUUUUUAGAACACCCUGCAGUUCACAGUUUAUUUCACUGUUUUAAAACUUAAACACAUAUAAGAACUCCAAGUAGUCACAAAGAACUGCAGAAUUGGAAAGAACUCCAAUUUUCAUGUCUUUAUCUUUACAGUUCAUGUGCUAUCAUUGUUUAUUUUGAAUAUACUGUGUGAAUGCAGGAAGGAAUAUGCUGUGUCACGGGAGAUGGAGACACAAACUGUGUCCUAUGGAAGCUCAACUGAUUCUGAACUGUUACGUACUUUUACCCAAAUCAAGCUGAAUUUGCCAAUGUCAGGGGCCCACA
Molecule: long non-coding RNA, 599 nt
Filed under: Pan troglodytes (chimpanzee)
Lineage: Eukaryota; Metazoa; Chordata; Mammalia; Primates; Hominidae
Description: long non-coding RNA NONPTRT001015
Source: RNAcentral